GACGAACGCUGGCGGCGUGCUUAACACAUGCAAGUCGAACGGAAAGGCCCUGCUUUUGUGGGGUGCUCGAGUGGCGAACGGGUGAGUAACACGUGAGUAACCUGCCCUUGACUUUGGGAUAACUUCAGGAAACUGGGGCUAAUACCGGAUAGGAGCUCCUGCUGCAUGGUGGGGGUUGGAAAGUUUCGGCGGUUGGGGAUGGACUCGCGGCUUAUCAGCUUGUUGGUGGGGUAGUGGCUUACCAAGGCUUUGACGGGUAGCCGGCCUGAGAGGGUGACCGGUCACAUUGGGACUGAGAUACGGCCCAGACUCCUACGGGAGGCAGCAGUGGGGAAUAUUGCACAAUGGGCGGAAGCCUGAUGCAGCAACGCCGCGUGCGGGAUGACGGCCUUCGGGUUGUAAACCGCUUUCGCCUGUGACGAAGCGUGAGCGACGGUAAUGGGUAAAGAAGCACCGGCUAACUACGUG
RNAcentral lists this ribosomal RNA (468 nucleotides) under uncultured bacterium. RNAcentral describes it as "partial 16S ribosomal RNA". It matches the Rfam family "Bacterial small subunit ribosomal RNA", at positions 28 to 507 of the family's 1533-position model. The record is from RNAcentral.